RNAcentral lists this ribosomal RNA (253 nucleotides) under uncultured bacterium. RNAcentral describes it as "partial 16S ribosomal RNA". It matches the Rfam family "Bacterial small subunit ribosomal RNA", at positions 524 to 776 of the family's 1533-position model. The record is from RNAcentral.
UACGUAGGGUGCGAGCGUUAAUCGGAAUUACUGGGCGUAAAGUGUGCGCAGGCGGCCGCGCAAGUCGAGUGUGAAAGCCCCGGGCUUAACUUGGGAAUUGCGCUCGAAACUACGUGGCUAGAGUGUGGCAGAGGGAGGUGGAAUUCCACGUGUAGCGGUGAAAUGCGUAGAGAUGUGGAGGAACACCGAUGGCGAAGGCGCCUAUCUGGCCCGAUACUGACGCUGAGGCGCGAAAGCUAGGGGAGCAAACGGG